RNAcentral lists this ribosomal RNA (491 nucleotides) under uncultured bacterium. RNAcentral describes it as "partial 16S ribosomal RNA". It matches the Rfam family "Bacterial small subunit ribosomal RNA", at positions 29 to 506 of the family's 1533-position model. The record is from RNAcentral.
AGUGAACGCUGGCGGUAGGCCUAACACAUGCAAGUCGAACGGCAGCACAGUAAGAGCUUGCUCUUACGGGUGGCGAGUGGCGGACGGGUGAGGAAUACAUCGGAAUCUACUUUUUCGUGGGGGAUAACGUAGGGAAACUUACGCUACUACCGCAUACGACCUACGGGUGAAAGCAGUGGAUCUUCGGACCUUUCGCGAUUGAAUGAGCCGAUGUCGGAUUAGCUAGUUGGCAGGGUAAAGGCCCACCAAGGCGACGAUCCGUAGCUGGUCCGAGAGGAUGACCGGCCAAACUGGAACUGAGACACGGUCCAGACUCCUAGGGGAGGCAGCAGUGGGGAAUAUUGGACAAGGGGCGCAACCCGAAUGCAGAAAUACGGCGUGGGUGAAGAAGGCCUUCGGGUUGUAAAGCCUUUUUGUUGGGAAAGAAAAGCAGCAGGUUAAUACCCCGCUGUUCGGACGGGACCCAAAGAAUAAGCACCGGCAAACUUCGU